GGGCCCGUAGCUCAGCUGGUAGAGCGCUGCCCUUGCAAGGCAGAGGCCGAGGGUUCGAAUCCCUCCGGGUCCA
RNAcentral lists this transfer RNA (73 nucleotides) under Nautiliaceae bacterium. RNAcentral describes it as "tRNA-Ala". It matches the Rfam family "tRNA". Rfam says of the family: Transfer RNA (tRNA) molecules are approximately 80 nucleotides in length. The record is from RNAcentral. Lineage: Bacteria; Pseudomonadati; Campylobacterota; Epsilonproteobacteria; Nautiliales; Nautiliaceae.